Molecule: ribosomal RNA, 917 nt
Filed under: Exophiala oligosperma
Lineage: Eukaryota; Fungi; Ascomycota; Eurotiomycetes; Chaetothyriales; Herpotrichiellaceae
Description: LSU rRNA
Rfam family: Eukaryotic large subunit ribosomal RNA
Source: RNAcentral
UAAGCAUAUCAAUAAGCGGAGGAAAAGAAACCAACAGGGAUUGCCUCAGUAACGGCGAGUGAAGCGGCAACAGCUCAAAUUUGAAAUCUGGCCUCUUCGGGGUCCGAGUUGUAAUUUGUAGAGGAUGUUUCGGGUACCGCCUCGGUUUAAAUUUCUUGGAACAGAAUGUCAGAGAGGGUGAGAAUCCCGUCUUGGACCGGCGGUAGGGCCCAUGUGAAACUCCUUCGACGAGUCGAGUUGUUUGGGAAUGCAGCUCAAAAUGGGUGGUAAAUUUCAUCUAAAGCUAAAUAUUGGCCAGAGACCGAUAGCGCACAAGUAGAGUGAUCGAAAGAUGAAAAGAACUUUGAAAAGAGAGUUAAACAGUAUGUGAAAUUGUUGAAAGGGAAGCGCUUACAACCAGACUUGAGCGCGGCGGUUCCCCCUUCCUUUUGGUUGGGUUACUCCGCCGUGUCCAGGCCAACAUCGGUUCUGGGGGUCGGUUAAAGGCCUGGGGAAUGUAUCUACUCCUUCGGGGGUAGACUUAUAGCCCCGGGUGUCAUGCGACCACCCGGGACCGAGGAACGCGCUUCGGCUCGGAUGUUGGCGUAAUGGUUGUCAGCGACCCGUCUUGAAACACGGACCAAGGAGUCUAACAUCUAUGCGAGUGUUUGGGUGUCAAACCCGGAACGCGAAAUGAAAGUGAACGGAGGUAGGAAGCCUUUAGGCUGCACUAUCGACCGAUCCUGAUGUCUUCGGAUGGAUUUGAGUAAGAGCAUAGCUGUUGGGACCCGAAAGAUGGUGAACUAUGCCUGAAUAGGGUGAAGCCAGAGGAAACUCUGGUGGAGGCUCGCAGCGGUUCUGACGUGCAAAUCGAUCGUCAAAUUUGGGUAUAGGGGCGAAAGACUAAUCGAACCAUCUGGUAGCUGGUUCCUGCCGAA